This 430-nucleotide ribosomal RNA is filed under the name uncultured Spirochaetaceae bacterium. Its description in RNAcentral is "bacterial SSU rRNA". It matches the Rfam family "Bacterial small subunit ribosomal RNA", at positions 355 to 776 of the family's 1533-position model. The record is from RNAcentral. Lineage: Bacteria; Pseudomonadati; Spirochaetota; Spirochaetia; Spirochaetales; Spirochaetaceae.
CUAAGAAUCUUCCGCAAUGGGGGAAACCCUGACGGAGCGACGCCGCGUGGACGAAGAAGGCCGCAAGGUUGUAAAGUCCUUUUGCAGGCGAAGAAUAAGGCGAAGAGUGGAAAGCUUGGUCGAUGACGUUAGCCUGCGAAUAAGCCCCGGCCAAUUACGUGCCAGCAGCCGCGGUAACACGUAUGGGGCAAGCGUUGUUCGGAAUUACUGGGCGUAAAGGGCGUGUAGGCGGUUUCGUAAGCCUGGCGUGAAAGUCAUCGGCCCAACCGAUGGACGGCGCUGGGAACUGCGGGACUGGAGUUUUGGAGGGGGAGCUGGAAUUCCAGGUGUAGGGGUGAAAUCUGUAGAGAUCUGGAAGAACACCGGAGGCGAAGGCGAGCUCCUGGCCAAUGACUGACGCUGAGGCGCGAAAGCGUGGGGAGCAAACAGG